ACAGAGGGUGCGAGCGUUAAUCGGAAUUACUGGGCGUAAAGCGUGCGUAGACGGUUAUUUAAGUCGGGUGUGAAAGCCCCGGGCUCAACCUGGGAAUUGCAUUCGAGACUGAAUAGCUAGGGUACGGUAGAGGGAAGUGGAAUUUCCGGUGUAGCGGUGAAAUGCGUAGAUAUCGGGAGGAACAUCUGUGGCGAAGGCGACACCCUGGACCAGCACUGACACUGAGGCACGAAAGCGUGGGGAGCAAACAGGA
RNAcentral lists this ribosomal RNA (253 nucleotides) under uncultured prokaryote. Its description in RNAcentral is "partial 16S ribosomal RNA". It matches the Rfam family "Bacterial small subunit ribosomal RNA", at positions 525 to 777 of the family's 1533-position model. The record is from RNAcentral.